RNAcentral lists this ribosomal RNA (433 nucleotides) under uncultured bacterium. RNAcentral describes it as "partial 16S ribosomal RNA". It matches the Rfam family "Bacterial small subunit ribosomal RNA", at positions 29 to 507 of the family's 1533-position model. The record is from RNAcentral.
AACGAAGGCUGGCGGCAUGCCUAACACAUGCAAGUCGAACGAGACCUUCGGGUCUAGUGGCGCACGGGUGCGUAACGCGUGGGAACCUGCCCUUAGGUUCGGAAUAACUCCCCGAAAGGGGUGCUAAUACCGGAUAAUGUCUUCGGACCAAAGAUUUAUCGCCUUUGGAUGGGCCCGCGUUGGAUUAGCUAGUUGGUAGGGUAAAAGCCUACCAAGGCGACGAUCCAUAGCUGGUCUGAGAGGAUGAUCAGCCACACUGGGACUGAGACACGGCCCAGACCCCUACGGGAGGCAGCAGUGGGGAAUAUUGGACAAUGGGCGAAAGCCUGAUCCAGCAAUGCCGCGUGAGUGAUGAAGGCCUUAGGGUUGUAAAGCUCUUUUACCCGGGAUGAUAAUGACAGUACCGGGAGAAUAAGCUCCGGCUAACUCCGUG